This 20-nucleotide microRNA is filed under the name Tribolium castaneum (red flour beetle). Its description in RNAcentral is "tca-miR-6010-5p". Lineage: Eukaryota; Metazoa; Arthropoda; Insecta; Coleoptera; Tenebrionidae. The record is from miRBase by way of RNAcentral.
GUUUGUUUUUGUCGCCUUUU